This 1372-nucleotide ribosomal RNA is filed under the name uncultured bacterium. Its description in RNAcentral is "bacterial SSU rRNA". It matches the Rfam family "Bacterial small subunit ribosomal RNA", at positions 28 to 1381 of the family's 1533-position model. The record is from RNAcentral.
GAUGAACGCUGGCGGCGUGCCUAAUACAUGCAAGUCGAGCGAACGGACGAGAAGCUUGCUUCUCUGAUGUUAGCGGCGGACGGGUGAGUAACACGUGGAUAACCUACCUAUAAGACUGGGAUAACUUCGGGAAACCGGAGCUAAUACCGGAUAAUAUUUUGAACCGCAUGGCUCAAAAGUGAAAGACGGUCUUGCUGUCACUUAUAGAUGGAUCCGCGCUGCAUUAGCUAGUUGGUAAGGUAACGGCUUACCAAGGCAACGAUGCAUAGCCGACCUGAGAGGGUGAUCGGCCACACUGGAACUGAGACACGGUCCAGACUCCUACGGGAGGCAGCAGUAGGGAAUCUUCCGCAAUGGGCGAAAGCCUGACGGAGCAACGCCGCGUGAGUGAUGAAGGUCUUCGGAUCGUAAAACUCUGCUAUUAGGGAAGAACAUAUGUGUAAGUAACUGUGCACAUCUUGACGGUACCUAAUCAGAAAGCCACGGCUAACUACGUGCCAGCAGCCGCGGUAAUACGUAGGUGGCAAGCGUUAUCCGGAAUUAUUGGGCGUAAAGCGCGCGUAGGCGGUUUUUUAAGUCUGACGUGAAAGCCCACGGCUCAACCGUGGAGGGUCAUUGGAAACUGGAAAACUUGAGUGCAGAAGAGGAAAGUGGAAUUCCAUGUGUAGCGGUGAAAUGCGCAGAGAUAUGGAGGAACACCAGUGGCGAAGGCGACUUUCUGGUCUGUAACUGACGCUGAUGUGCGAAAGCGUGGGGAUCGAACAGGAUUAGAUACCCUGGUAGUCCACGCCGUAAACGAUGAGUGCUAAGUGUUAGGGGGUUUCCGCCCCUUAGUGCUGCAGCUAACGCAUUAAGCACUCCGCCUGGGGAGUACGACCGCAAGGUUGAAACUCAAAGGAGUUGACGGGGACCCGCACAAGCGGUGGAGCAUGUGGUUUAAUUCGAAGCAACGCGAAGAACCUUACCAAAUCUUGACAUCCUUUGACAACUCUAGAGAUAGAGCCUUCCCCUUCGGGGGACAAAGUGACAGGUGGUGCAUGGUUGUCGUCAGCUCGUGUCGUGAGAUGUUGGGUUAAGUCCCGCAACGAGCGCAACCCUUAAGCUUAGUUGCCAUCAUUAAGUUGGGCACUCUAAGUUGACUGCCGGUGACAAACCGGAGGAAGGUGGGGAUGACGUCAAAUCAUCAUGCCCCUUAUGAUUUGGGCUACACACGUGCUACAAUGGACAAUACAAAGGGCAGCGAAACCGCGAGGUCAAGCAAAUCCCAUAAAGUUGUUCUCAGUUCGGAUUGUAGUCUGCAACUCGACUACAUGAAGCUGGAAUCGCUAGUAAUCGUAGAUCAGCAUGCUACGGUGAAUACGUUCCCGGGUCU